UUAACGAUUUACUUUUCGUAUACUGACGGAAGUUUACAGAAAUGGUUUUGGUGGGCCUCGGACGGGCUGACAGCACGGAGGCAUGCCGCCGAAGCAACGGGAGGUUCACAAUGGUUUGAAGUAACGAGUACCGCACGAUCUCAUUAGGAGACCGAACCGGCAUUACGUAUGUUUAAAGCCCAAGCGGCUGGUCCACCCGGACUUUCAUCCAGGGUGAAGGAUAUUUUUAAUGAUCCUUCCGCAGGUUCACCUACGGAAA
This 259-nucleotide unclassified non-coding RNA is filed under the name uncultured fungus. RNAcentral describes it as "sequence contains ITS1". Lineage: Eukaryota; Fungi. The record is from RNAcentral.